RNAcentral lists this non-coding RNA (29 nucleotides) under Rattus norvegicus (Norway rat). The record is from RNAcentral. Lineage: Eukaryota; Metazoa; Chordata; Mammalia; Rodentia; Muridae.
UGGGGAAUUAGCACAGUUCUAAUGCCAGU